CAGACGCCAAGCGAACGACACAAA
Molecule: non-coding RNA, 24 nt
Filed under: Arabidopsis thaliana (thale cress)
Lineage: Eukaryota; Viridiplantae; Streptophyta; Magnoliopsida; Brassicales; Brassicaceae
Source: RNAcentral